This 72-nucleotide transfer RNA is filed under the name Hordeum vulgare. Its description in RNAcentral is "tRNA-OTHER". The record is from RNAcentral. Lineage: Eukaryota; Viridiplantae; Streptophyta; Magnoliopsida; Poales; Poaceae.
CGAUGCGUAGCGUAGUGGUAGUGCGUUGUUGUUGCCAGUUGCAUGUCGUGGGUUCGAUUCCCUCGGCGCCCC